UGGCUUGUAGCUCAAUGGUGAGAGCAUUUGCCUUAUACGCAACAGGUUGCCGGUUCGAACCCGGCCAGGCCAA
RNAcentral lists this transfer RNA (73 nucleotides) under Chitinophaga agrisoli. Its description in RNAcentral is "Chitinophaga sp. BN140078 tRNA-Ile". It matches the Rfam family "tRNA". Rfam says of the family: Transfer RNA (tRNA) molecules are approximately 80 nucleotides in length. Lineage: Bacteria; Pseudomonadati; Bacteroidota; Chitinophagia; Chitinophagales; Chitinophagaceae. The record is from RNAcentral.